This 389-nucleotide ribosomal RNA is filed under the name uncultured bacterium. Its description in RNAcentral is "bacterial SSU rRNA". It matches the Rfam family "Bacterial small subunit ribosomal RNA", at positions 29 to 417 of the family's 1533-position model. The record is from RNAcentral.
AUUGAACGCUGGCGGCAUGCCUUACACAUGCAAGUCGAGCGGCAGCGCGGGGGCAACCCUGGCGGCGAGCGGCGAACGGGUGAGUAAUGCAUCGGAACGUGUCCUCUUGUGGGGGAUAACCAGUCGAAAGACUGGCUAAUACCGCAUGAGCUCGUAAGAGGAAAGCAGGGGACCCGCAAGGGCCUUGCGCGAGAGGAGCGGCCGAUGCCCGAUUAGCUAGUUGGNGGGGUAAAAGCCUACCAAGGCGACGAUCGGUAGCUGGUCUGAGAGGACGACCAGCCACACUGGGACUGAGACACGGCCCAGACUCCUACGGGAGGCAGCAGUGGGGAAUUUUGGACAAUGGGGGCAACCCUGAUCCAGCCAUGCCGCGUGUGUGAAGAAGGCCU